CAAUAGCGUAUAUUAAAGUUGUUGCGGUUAAAAAGCUCGUAGUUGGAUUUCUGCUGAGAACGACCGGUCCGCCCUUUGGGUGUGUAUCUGGCUCUUUCUUGGCAUCUUCUUGGUGAACGUUGCUGCACUUGACUGUGUGGAGCGCUACCCAGGACUUUUACUUUGAGGAAAUUAGAGUGUUUCAAGCAGGCAUACGCCUUGAAUACAUUAGCAUGGAAUAAUAAGAUAGGACCUCGGUUCUAUUUUGUUGGUUUCUAGAGCUGAGGUAAUGAUUAACAGGGACAGUUGGGGGCAUUCGUACUGGGUAGUCAGCGGUAAAAUGCUAUGACCUGCUCAAGACGCACUAAUGCGAAGGCAUUUGCCAAGGAUGUUUUCAUUAA
This 380-nucleotide ribosomal RNA is filed under the name uncultured eukaryote. RNAcentral describes it as "partial 18S ribosomal RNA". It matches the Rfam family "Eukaryotic small subunit ribosomal RNA", at positions 592 to 976 of the family's 1831-position model. The record is from RNAcentral.